This 253-nucleotide ribosomal RNA is filed under the name uncultured bacterium. RNAcentral's name for it is "partial 16S ribosomal RNA". It matches the Rfam family "Bacterial small subunit ribosomal RNA", at positions 524 to 776 of the family's 1533-position model. The record is from RNAcentral.
UACAGAGGUGGCAAGCGUUGUUCGGAAUUACUGGGCGUAAAGGGCGCGUAGGCGGCCUUCUAAGUCGGACGUGAAAUCCCUCGGCUUAACCGGGGAACUGCGUCUGAUACUGGAUGGCUUGAGUUUGGGAGAGGGAUGCGGAAUUCCAGGUGUAGCGGUGAAAUGCGUAGAUAUCUGGAGGAACACCGGUGGCGAAGGCGGCAUCCUGGACCAAUACUGACGCUGAGGAGCGAAAGCCAGGGGAGCAAACGGG